GCCCCGGUAGCUCAACUGGAUAGAGCAUCGGCCUUCUAAGCCGAGGGUUGCAGGUUCAAGUCCUGCUCGGGGCACCA
Molecule: transfer RNA, 77 nt
Filed under: Spiribacter sp.
Lineage: Bacteria; Pseudomonadati; Pseudomonadota; Gammaproteobacteria; Chromatiales; Ectothiorhodospiraceae
Description: tRNA-Arg
Rfam family: tRNA
About the family: Transfer RNA (tRNA) molecules are approximately 80 nucleotides in length. Their secondary structure includes four short double-helical elements and three loops (D, anti-codon, and T loops).
Source: RNAcentral